UGGGGAAUAUUGGACAAUGGGCGAAAGCCUGAUCCAGCCAUGCCGCGUGUGUGAAGAAGGUCUUCGGAUUGUAAAGCACUUUAAGUUGGGAGGAAGGGCAGUAAGCGAAUACCUUGCUGUUUUGACGUUACCGACAGAAUAAGCACCGGCUAACUCUGUGCCAGCAGCCGCGGUAAUACAGAGGGUGCAAGCGUUAAUCGGAAUUACUGGGCGUAAAGCGCGCGUAGGUGGUUCGUUAAGUUGAAUGUGAAAGCCCCGGGCUCAACCUGGGAACUGCAUCCAAAACUGGCGAGCUAGAGUAGGGCAGAGGGUGGUGGAAUUUCCUGUGUAGCGGUGAAAUGCGUAGAUAUAGGAAGGAACACCAGUGGCGAAGGCGACCACCUGGGCUCAUACUGACACUGAGGUGUGAAAGCGUGGGGAGCAAACAGG
Molecule: ribosomal RNA, 429 nt
Filed under: Pseudomonadota bacterium
Lineage: Bacteria; Pseudomonadati; Pseudomonadota
Description: Proteobacteria bacterium partial 16S ribosomal RNA
Rfam family: Bacterial small subunit ribosomal RNA
Source: RNAcentral